This is a long non-coding RNA of Erinaceus europaeus (western European hedgehog), 734 nucleotides long. RefSeq lists it as uncharacterized. The record is from RefSeq and is a predicted model, not a curated record. Lineage: Eukaryota; Metazoa; Chordata; Mammalia; Eulipotyphla; Erinaceidae. The transcript is spliced from 3 exons.
UUGUGUAACACUAUUUCCCAAGCUCAUUUGGCCUUGAAACUCUGGGGGAAAAAACUGGUUUCUGGUUAGCAUCUGAUAGAACUGGUAUUAUUCAGACCACCCUUCAUUCAGUGUUUGACUAUUUUACCUUAAAAGAAAGAUGUGAAAUUUCAUUCAACAUGCACCAUAAUCUAGGUUUUCCUUCACAGUUAAACACUUGGAAGAAGAUUUUGCAAAGAAAAAUAUAAAAUGCUUGUUCGUGGGAAAUAUUUACUCCACCCAGGAAAAGAUAAAUGGCACUUAAGAAUGGCACUUAAGUGAGAUGUUUAUUGAAAUAAGGAAGGCUAAUUGUCAAAAAUGAUGAGAAACAAAUGUGGAAAGUCUUAUUUGGAACUUUGACCACAUGGAGUGUUUAAAGAAGCAUAUGCUGUGUUUCAGAGGAAUAGGCAAUUUCAGAAGUUACAAUUUUUUUUUUUGGAUUAAAAAAUUGUUCAUUGUAAAAGUGAAAAAAAAAAAGAAGAGAAGAAGAAGAACAUGGAUAUAUCAAGGAUUGAGGAACAAGAGAUACAAAUGUCAGUGUUGUCUUUUCUGAAAUGUUAGAGCUCCACUGUGAUGUUAUUUUAUUAUUAUGUCCAUUAACAUCAUAGAUUGGUCUUGCUGGAAAACUCUGCUAGAAGCCUUGGUGUAUGUGAGGUUCUAGAGACAGAAUAGAAUUCUCUGUGGUGCCUAAACAUGUGUCUUAAAAGAAUAUGUUU